Molecule: small nuclear RNA, 164 nt
Organism: Jaculus jaculus (lesser Egyptian jerboa)
Lineage: Eukaryota; Metazoa; Chordata; Mammalia; Rodentia; Dipodidae
Product: U1 spliceosomal RNA
Exons: 1
Source: RefSeq, a predicted model, not a curated record
AUACUUACCUGGCAGGAGAGAUACCAUGAUCACAAAGGUGGUCUUCCCAGGAUGAGGCUUAUCCAUUGCACUUUGGAUGUGCUGACCCCUGCGAUUUCCCCAAAUGCAGGAAACUUGACUGCAUAAUUUGUGAUAGUGGGAGACUGCGUUCGUGCUCUCCCCUG